ACCUAUAGAGAAAGUACAACAAUACACGGAGAGGGAUCGGUUUUUGUCUGCUUCCGAGGCUUUAGAGUUUGGGCUUAUUGACGGCGUGCUGGAAACAGAAUACUGAGCUUUUUGGCGAAGACUAAAAGGUCAUAAGCCAUAUCUGCACAAUAAGGUGAUCUGAUUAUGCAGAAUUUGACUUCUGAAUGGGAAAAUUUAUUUCAGUGUGCGGAAUCAUCUUCUCCAAGCUUUGGUACAGAAUAUCAAAAUUUCAGUCCGAAUUAGCGUCGUUUCAUUGGUGAACUCCCAA
Molecule: unclassified non-coding RNA, 289 nt
Filed under: Hevea brasiliensis (rubber tree)
Lineage: Eukaryota; Viridiplantae; Streptophyta; Magnoliopsida; Malpighiales; Euphorbiaceae
Source: RNAcentral